CCUACGGGAGGCAGCAGUAAGGAAUAUUGGACAAUGGGCGCAAGCCUGAUCCAGCCAUGCCGCGUGUGUGAAGAAGGCCUUCGGGUUGUAAAGCACUUUUGUCCGGAAAGAAAAGCUUCGGGUUAAUAACCCGGAGUUACGACGGUACCGGAAGAAUAAGCACCGGCUAACUUCGCGCCAGCAGCCGCGGUAAUACGAAGGGUGCAAGCGUUACUCAGAAUUACUGGGCGUAAAGCGUGCGUAGGUGGUUUGUUAAGUCUGAUGUGAAAGCCCUGGGCUCAACCUGGGAACUGCAUUGGAAACUGGCUGACUAGAGUGCGGUAGAGGGGUGUGGAAUUCCCGGUGUAGCAGUGAAAUGCGUAGAUAUCGGGAGGAACAUCUGUGGCGAAGGCGACACCCUGGACCAGCACUGACACUGAGGCACGAAAGCGUGGGGAGCAAACAGGAUUAGAUACCCUGGUAG
Molecule: ribosomal RNA, 463 nt
Filed under: uncultured bacterium
Lineage: Bacteria
Description: bacterial SSU rRNA
Rfam family: Bacterial small subunit ribosomal RNA
Source: RNAcentral